This 73-nucleotide transfer RNA is filed under the name Corynebacterium glucuronolyticum. Its description in RNAcentral is "tRNA-Ala". It matches the Rfam family "tRNA". From Rfam's summary of the family: Transfer RNA (tRNA) molecules are approximately 80 nucleotides in length. Their secondary structure includes four short double-helical elements and three loops (D, anti-codon, and T loops). RNAcentral also lists the same sequence under 7 other names. Lineage: Bacteria; Bacillati; Actinomycetota; Actinomycetes; Mycobacteriales; Corynebacteriaceae. The record is from RNAcentral.
GGGGCCUUGGCGCAGUUGGUAGCGCGUCUCGUUCGCAAUGAGAAGGUCGCGAGUUCGAUUCUCGUAGGCUCCA